UGGGGAAUAUUGCACAAUGGGCGAAAGCCUGAUGCAGCAACGCCGCGUGAGUGAUGAAGGCCUUCGGGUUGUAAAGCUCUGUCUUCUGGGACGAUAAUGACGGUACCAGAGGAGGAAGCCACGGCUAACUACGUGCCAGCAGCCGCGGUAAUACGUAGGUGGCAAGCGUUGUCCGGAUUUACUGGGCGUAAAGGAUGCGUAGGCGGAUACUUAAGUCAGAUGUGAAAAUCCCAGGCUUAACUUGGGAACUGCAUUUGAAACUGGGUAUCUAGAGUGCGGGAGAGGAAAGUGGAAUUCCUAGUGUAGCGGUGAAAUGCGUAGAGAUUAGGAAGAACACCAGUGGCGAAGGCGACUUUCUGGACCGUAACUGACGCUGAGGCAUGAAAGCGUGGGGAGCAAACA
RNAcentral lists this ribosomal RNA (402 nucleotides) under uncultured bacterium. RNAcentral's name for it is "bacterial SSU rRNA". It matches the Rfam family "Bacterial small subunit ribosomal RNA", at positions 355 to 774 of the family's 1533-position model. The record is from RNAcentral.